CACACAGUAAACGAUAAUCACUAGGUGUUGGGUUCGUAUAGGACUCGGUGCCGGAGCUAACGCGAUAAGUGAUUCGCCUGGGGAGUACGAUCGCAAGGUUGAAACUCAAAGGAAUUGACGGGGGCCCGCACAAGCGGUGGAGCAUGUGGUUUAAUUCGACGCAACGCGAAGAACCUUACCCGGUCUUGACAUCUGCAGAAUUCUUCAGAGAUGGAGGAGUGCCGGCUUGCCGGAGCUGCAAGACAGGUGC
Molecule: ribosomal RNA, 250 nt
Filed under: uncultured Candidatus Cloacimonas sp.
Lineage: Bacteria; Pseudomonadati; Candidatus Cloacimonadota; Cloacimonadia (SeqCode); Cloacimonadales (SeqCode); Cloacimonadaceae (SeqCode)
Description: partial 16S ribosomal RNA
Rfam family: Bacterial small subunit ribosomal RNA
Source: RNAcentral